UGUUGUUUUAAGUUGUAAGUAAACAGUGGGAAUUUCAACGUGUCGGUUAAUUGUAUUACCGUCUAUACUGUACCAUGCCUCUUUAAAUUCACGUGCGUGUUUUGUUUGUGCUCGUCCUAAUAGUUCGGUUUCUGUCCAGUUGAAGGUAUGGCAGUUGUCGUAUGUGUGUGCUGCAGGUAGUGAUUUAUAAUCGUAUCGUUUUAUGGCGUUUUUGUGUUCAGUAAUACGUGUUUCAAUUUUCUUCGAGGUUUGACCUAUAUGUAUCGUUGUGGACAGUCUCUGCAAGGUAUCAUGUAUAUAGCAUUUUUUCUUUGUUUUGAUGCUGUUUUGUCUUUGUGUUUUGUGAAAUAUGACCUAAGUUUAUGUGCCGGUUUGUGUGCUACGUCAAUGUUGAAAGGUCGCAAUAAUCUGGCGGUCAUUUCAGAUGUACUGUUUAUGUAAGGUAGAGUUAUUCUUGUCCUUGAUUGUUCAGGUUGUUCGUCAGGUAUGUUACUCUGUUUUUUGUUACGUAUUUUUGUUAGUAUUUUGUUAACGAAGUUCCUAGUGU
This is a non-coding RNA of Paramuricea clavata, 547 nucleotides long. The record is from the annotation of a GenBank genome assembly. Lineage: Eukaryota; Metazoa; Cnidaria; Anthozoa; Malacalcyonacea; Plexauridae.